Molecule: unclassified non-coding RNA, 348 nt
Filed under: soil metagenome
Description: partial contains 5.8S ribosomal RNA, internal transcribed spacer 2, and large subunit ribosomal RNA
Rfam family: 5.8S ribosomal RNA (bases 1-120)
Source: RNAcentral
GAUGAAGAACGCAGUGAAAUGCGAUAAGUAAUGUGAAUUGCAGAAUUCAGUGAAUCAUCGAAUCUUUGAACGCACAUUGCGCCCGCCAGUAUUCUGGCGGGCAUGCCUGUCUGAGCGUCAUUUCAACCCUUAUGCCCCUAGGGCGUGGUGUUGGGGAUCGGCCAAAGCCCGCGAGGGACGGCCGGCCCCUAAAUCUAGUGGCGGACCCGUCGUGGCCUCCUCUGCGAAGUAGUGAUAUUCCGCAUCGGAGAGCGACGAGCCCCUGCCGUUGAACCCCCAACUUUCCAAGGUUGACCUCAGAUCAGGUAGGAAUACCCGCUGAACUUAAGCAUAUCAAUAAGCGGAGGA